UGCCAGCCGCCGCGGUAAUACAGAGGGUGCAAGCGUUAAUCGGAAUUACUGGGCGUAAAGCGCGCGUAGGUGGUUCGUUAAGUUGGAUGUGAAAGCCCCGGGCUCAACUGGGAGAGGUCGCUUAAGACUGGCAGACUUGAGAGCAGUAGGGGAAGGUGGAAUUCCGGGUGUAGUGGUGAAAUGCGUAGAUACUGGUAGGAACCUCGAUAGCGAAGGCAGCUUCCUGGCCGAUACCUGACGCUGAAGCGUGAAAGCGUGGGGAGCAAACCGGAUUAGAUA
RNAcentral lists this ribosomal RNA (279 nucleotides) under uncultured bacterium. Its description in RNAcentral is "partial 16S ribosomal RNA". It matches the Rfam family "Bacterial small subunit ribosomal RNA", at positions 506 to 784 of the family's 1533-position model. The record is from RNAcentral.